UUAGUAACGGCGAGUGAACCGGGAAAAGCUCAAAUUUGAAAUCUGCCAACAGGCCGAGUUGUAAUUUGUAGAUGGCUACACUGCAUAAUAGUAGAUGCUCAAGUUCUUUGGAAAAAGACAUCAUGGAGGGUGACAAUCCCGUGAGGCAUGUUACUAGGAGCAUAUAGUGGGCUUUCUAAGAGUCGAGUUGUUUGGGAAUGCAGCUCAAAGUGCGUGGUGAAUACCAUGUAAAGCUAAAUAUGGACGAGAGACCGAUAGCGAACAAGUACUGUGAAGGAAAGAUGAAAAGCACUCCGAAAGGAGAGUGAAAUAGUACGUGAAAUUGUUAAAGUGGAAGGGCUUGAGAUCAGAAUUGGUAGUUUGGGUUCCACGUCCUCUUGGGGGCGUGUACUCCCUUUCCACCGGGCCAGCGGGAGUUUCGUCUCUUGGGUAAAAGCAGUGGAAUGUAGCAGCUUGUCUGUAUUAUAGCCUCUGUUCAUACAAGACGUCGAGACU
Molecule: ribosomal RNA, 495 nt
Filed under: Wickerhamiella pararugosa
Lineage: Eukaryota; Fungi; Ascomycota; Dipodascomycetes; Dipodascales; Trichomonascaceae
Description: LSU rRNA
Rfam family: Eukaryotic large subunit ribosomal RNA
Source: RNAcentral